CCUACGGGGGUCUGCAGUGGGGAAUAUUGCACAAUGGGGGAAACCCUGAUGCAGCGACGCCGCGUGAGUGAAGAAGUAUUUCGGUAUGUAAAGCUCUAUCAGCAGGAACGAGACAAGACGGUACCUGACUAAAAAGCCCCGGCUAACUACGUGCCAGCAGCCGCGGUACUACGUAGGUGGCAAGCGUUCUCCGGAAUCACUGGGUGUAAAGGGAGCGUAGACGGCUGAGCAAGCCUGAGGUGAAAGGCGGGGGCCCAACCCCCGGACUGCUUUGGGAACUGUACGGCUGGAGUGCAGGAGAGGUAAGGGGAAUUCCUAGGGUAGCGGUGAAAUGCGUAGAUAUUAGGAGGAACACCAGGGGCGAAGGCGGCUUACUGGACUGUAACUGACGUUGAGGCUCGAAAGCGUGGGGAGCAAACAGGAUUAGAUACCCUUGUAGUC
Molecule: ribosomal RNA, 441 nt
Filed under: uncultured bacterium
Lineage: Bacteria
Description: partial 16S ribosomal RNA
Rfam family: Bacterial small subunit ribosomal RNA
Source: RNAcentral